GUUAGAACGCUUCGUAGUCGGAUUUUCGGGGCGGGCCGACCGGUCUGCCGAGGGGUACGCACUGGUCGGCGCGUUUUUUUUCCGGAGAGCGUGCCUACUCUUAACUGAGCGGGGGCGGGAGAGGGAUCGUUUACUUUGAAAAAAUCAGAGUGUUUCAAGCAGGCAGCUCGCUCUUGCAUGGAUUAGCAUGGGAUAAUGAAAUAGGACUUUGGUGCUAUUUUGUUGGUUUCGAACACCGAAGUAAUGAUUAAAAGGGACAGUCAGGGGCACUCGUAUUCCGCCGAGAGAGGUGAAAUUCUCAGACCAGCGGAAGACGAACCACUGCGAAAGCAUUUGCCAGGGAUGUUUUCACUGAUCAAGAACGAAAGUUAGGGGAUCGAAGAGGAUCAGAUACCCUCGUAGUCUUAACCAUAAACCAUGCCGACUAGGGAUUGGAGGAUGUUCACAAUUGACUCCUUCAGCACCUUACGGGAAACUAAAGUCUUUGGGUUCCGGGGGGAGUAUGGUCGCAAGGCUGAAACUUAAAGGAAUUGACGGAAGGGCACCACCAGGUGUGGAGCCUGCGGCUUAAUUUUGACUCAACACGGGGAAACUUACCAGGUCCAGACAUUUGUGAGGAUUGACAGAUUGAGAGCUCUUUCUUGAUUUGAUGGGUGGUGGUGCAUGGCCGUUCUUAGUUGGUGGAGUGAUUUGUCUGGUUAAUUCCG
Molecule: ribosomal RNA, 707 nt
Filed under: uncultured marine eukaryote
Lineage: Eukaryota
Description: SSU rRNA
Rfam family: Eukaryotic small subunit ribosomal RNA
Source: RNAcentral